This is a long non-coding RNA of Marmota monax (woodchuck), 9065 nucleotides long. RefSeq lists it as uncharacterized. The transcript has 2 exons. NCBI's taxonomy places the organism in Eukaryota, Metazoa, Chordata, Mammalia, Rodentia, Sciuridae. The record is from RefSeq and is a predicted model, not a curated record.
CACAUACCUAGAGGGAAGCGGAAAAAUGACAGGUGUGUGAAUAAACUCCGCCACUCCAAAGACGCCUGCAAUUCCACAGCUUUGGACAAAUUGCUGAUUACCUUGAGAAUGUCUGCGAGUGGCUCCCACCAUGGGAGGAGAACACUAACAAACCUCUGACCACAAAAAUGCCUUCUCGUUGUGGCAAGACCAUCCUAACCACCUGGCAGGGCAGCCUUGAGAGAUGCUCAAGAUGAAGAGGAAGGUGACAGCCACUAAGUCAACUCCAAUGACAAUCAGGCAAGAGAGGGUGCUGGUAAAUUCCCCUCAUUCUAACAGAUGCAUGUCUUUGGAAGCAGAUUUGAAGAACUGUUUUGAAACCCACGUGUCUACUGUAAUAACCAAAUGUGACACACGACACUGUGGGGCAGCUGCGGACAUUCAGGGUACUUUUGUAAGCGAAUCCCCUGAAUUUAGACCCAAUGGCCAUGGCAGACGACCACACCUCCACAGCAGGCAAGGGCCCGGCUUCAUCAGCACAGGAUGGUAAACGUGGGCUCAAAGCCGGAAGACCCUCCCUCAUGGACCGCAGCCUGCCCUCGCUGUGUGAACAUGCUUCUUUCCUUGCACCCUCCACGCUAUAAUCAAACAACUCAGUGUGUGUGUGUGUUUGCUCAGUGCCUGUUGCUGUGGGGGCCUGAGAGGUCUGUGAGAUCAGGGACUGUGCCUCUGUAACUCAUGAUGGGUCCUGAGGAACUAGCACUGGGCAGGGCAUAAAGGAGACACUGGAAAUAGUUCCUGAAUGAAUGACACUUGCCUGGCACUGUUGGACAAGCGCCUCUGGGUCAUUGGGCCUCAGUUUCCUCAUCCUUAAAGUGGAUUUAAUGAUGUCUUCUGUAUCACCUCACAGAAUUGUUGUGGUGAUAAAAUUAAAUAAAUGACAUAAUAUACAUUCUCUGGAAAGAAUAAAAUGACUGUUGAUGUGGGAUGGGUGGUGUUUCUAAGGAUUUAAAUUUCUUGGAACAUUAACACAUCAGUUCAUGUCCUUGGGCAGGUCUGGUGGUGGCAAGGAUGAAGUGAGGGUUCUGGCCUUUGGAAACCAAAAAACUUGUGACUUUGGGUACAUCACAAGCAGCUUUCCCUCUCUGCCCUCUAAAUCAAAAGCUCUGAGUGAGGGAGGUAGAACAUGAAGCCCAGGGCCUGAAGAGUAAGUGUGUGCAGUGGAGAGAAAGGCCUUUCAAGGAGCCAAGUGGAAGAAAGUACCUCAGACCACAUCCCCACCUGCAAGCCACACUGCUCCUCCCUCCACACAGGCUUCGGGCUUUAAAGCAGAAAGCUACAAAACUCGUGUUCCAGGGAUGGCACCUUCCCUACCCAUCAAGAGAGGGGACAGCUCCCUGAGGGAAUUAGUUGUUAGGGAGCCUGGGCCUCAAGGGCAAAUUAGCAGGGCAAUGCCCAGGAACACCAGCUUCAGCUGUGGGAGGUUAAACAACUGGGUCACACCCUGCAACUAUGACAAGCAUGCAUUAGAAGAAUGUGCCAUGCACUGUCCCCACGCUCUGCAGAAGUUCCUGACAGCGUCCCGGGGGAAGGUGAGCAGACAGGAUAUCUCAUUAUCCUUCCAUCUGGAACUCAAAAUGGGUUUAUCAUGAAAUCUCAGAUGAAAGGGUAGCCUUUACCACAUUAUUUUUGUCUUCAAACUCUCCAACUCUCUCUCACUAUGCACAUUUCCAAAUGUCUACACACAGAGUCUCUGUGUUUGGGAUUUUAAUUACAAGCUUUGCUUAAUAUCAAAACCACCAUGGAAAGAAGGUAUUAUUAUCAUCAAUUUACUCAGAAGGAAGAUAUUAAGACUCAGAAAAGACUGGUGACAUGCUCAAGAUCCUAACCAGUAAGUGCCAGGACCUGAGCCCAGGCUGGUCCCAUUCCAGGGCCCUCCCACCCACCACAGCUGCCAAGUCCCUCAUUCUGUGGCCAGUACAUCGUACAUCGCCUGCUGUAUUCUACAGUUUCCCUCUAGUUCAAGCCAGGCCCGUCUGCUCCUCCCUCCCCCUGUGCCCCAAACACCCUCCCAAGCCCGCCUCACCAGUGAACCACGUCCCAUCUGAACCCUGAUGGAGUUAGCUUCAACCUGGUUUUCCUGACUAAUUGUAUAAACUUUAGCUAUUUUAGUAAAUCUUCCCUCCUAGAGGAGAUGACCUGAUUUCACCAUACAGUUUGAAUUUUUAAUAUGGAUAUUGUUUUUAAAAACAAAGUAAACAAAUAAUGAACAGAAGAACUAAAAGCAAAAUUGUAAGUAGCAAAAGCUCAGAGAAGCAGGAGUUAGAGCAACAGCCUUAAGAAAUCUCAAGACCUCACCUUUCAUGUGGAGACAACAUUUAAAGUUUGUUAAAAUUUUUUUUCCUUAAAGUUUGCAGGGAAGAAUCAGAAAACUAAAAGCAAAAUGUUCAAAACUUAGUUACUCAUGAGGUCUAAAAAGUGAUUAGGAAGGGAGAAGACUUUCACAUUUUUAUGUCUUUUCAUAUUUUAGGGGGAAUUAUUUCUAAAAGCAUCAUUUCUGCUAUUUCAUAAUAAAAUUCUUAGAUCAAAAUUUAAAAAAUCUUUCAGGGCUAGGGUUGUGGCUCAGUGGUAGAGCAUUUGCCUAGCAUGCAUGAGGCACUGGGUUCAAUCCCUAGCACCACAUAAAAAGCUAAAGGAACUCAAUAAAGGUCUUGUGUCCAUCUACAACUAAAAAUAUUUUUUAAAAAAUCUUUCCAGGACUGGGGCUGUGGCUCAGUGGUAGAGCACUUGCCUAGCAAGUGUGAGGCCCUGGGUUCGAUCCUCAGAACCACAUAUGAAUAAACAAAUAAAGUGAAAAAUCCAUUGGCAACUAAAAAAAUUUUUUAAAAAAAUCUUUCCAGGGCUGGGGAUGUGGCUCAAGCGGUAGCACGCUCGCCUGGCAUGCGUGCGGCCCGGGUUCGAUCCUCAGCACCACAUACAAACAAAGAUGUUGUGUCCACUGAAAACUAAAAAAAUAAAUAAAUAUUUAAAAAAAAAAUCUUUCCAUUCACAAAAUCCUGAUAGUGACAUGAAAGAGUUAAAACUUUGAUUAAAUUUGUUGCUGUUGCUGCUGCUUUUCUUUUUCUGGGAACACAUCUGGGCUCAUCUGGGCACAGUUCCAGCCUUAAUGCCGACACUUGGAGCUGCCCUGUGAAGGUGGUGACAGCUCAUGGCAGUGACUGAGGGCUCUGGCUCAACAGCCCUUAGAUCUCCCAGGGGUGAGCUUGGUAUUUCUGGAAUGACAAGAGCUUUCUAAACUCCCCCAGCAAAACUGCUUCAGUUCAAUACGGGGAGUUCUGAGACUCAGGGCAACUUCCUUAUGGAACACACUGCGAGGGAAGGUCCCUUGGAGAGCCUAAGAACGUACUUGUCUAUAAACUAAGACUGGAGCCUAUAACUUCCUGAGGACCCUUGCACCUCAAUUAAACAGGGUUACCUCACGAAUAUACCGCAUCUUAUCUAGCCACUGCCUAAUGGAUGGUCAUUUAGGUUUCUUCAAACGUUCCGCCUUUACUAAUGAUGCUGCAAUGAACAUCCUUAAGAACAUCCUCUUGGGCCCAGGUACAAGUGUUUCUCCAGUGUUCACAACAGGGAUAAAGAACACGUGUAUUUUUAAUUGGGACAGACAGUGCCUUCCAACAUGGCCUACCCUGUUUUAGUUUCCCCAACCUUACUUGGCAAAGAGGGAUUUCAGGGCUGUCAGCAGGCCGCAGGUCCCCAAGCCGUUGGUGAGCCUGGCACAUCUGUCAACAGCUGCAGAUGCCAGACUGAAGAGCUUGUUCACAGAGUGGCUCAGCUCCUGCACACAGUCCAUCACUUCCCCGUGCUCCUGGUCAGAGGUGGACAAGCAAGAGCCACGUGAGACUCAAGAAUACCGUGACAGACAACACGAAGCAGGCAGCCCACCCAGCCCUCUCCUCUCCGGAAAAAUCACUUGAGGUUAUCGGAAAUACUGUCCUCAACCAGGACAGCUCUUCUAGAGCCCGAGCCCCAUGGAGAAGGACAGUUGAUGUGGCCAGUGACGCCACAGAAAUAACUCACGGCAGAAAAGCAUGACCAAAUGUCUAGGCUGUCCCUACAUUUUACAUCUCUUUCCCCUUUUCCUGUGAUUAUUAAGAUAGUACUUCCUCCUCUGGCUCUCAAGCUAGGACUCUAAUUCUCCAUACCAGUCACUCUAAAUAAAAAGGUAGCAGAAGGAAAAUGUUUCCCUCAAAAGCAUGAAAGUAACUGAAGCAGAAGGAACUUUCUAGGUAAAAUGGGGAAAUAGCAAGAGGCAGCAGAUUUUAACUUCUGUAAGAUCAGUUCCUAAAUGUCAACGCACUUCAUGCUGGACAACCUCAAGUGACAUGAAAACAAAAUCACCUUUAAAAGGAGAAGCGCUCGAUCCCCUCCCUCCUGCCCACACAGUCCCCUUAAAGCACUGUCCAUGGAUGUUAAGCUCCUGUGCCAUCCACAUCAUCUUCCAUAAACAGAAGUCCCCCUUAAAAAUAAGUUACUAGGGGGCUGGGGUCUCAGCUCAGUGGUAGAGCACUUGCCUAGCACAUGUGAGGCACUGGGUUCGAUCCUCAGCACCACAUAAAAAUAAAUACAUAAAAUGAAGGUAUUGUGUCCAUUUACAACUAUUAAAAAAAAAGUUACUAAAUCAGAGUAAGCUUUCCAAAGAAUUUAGGCCUCUCAUUUUACUAGAUCUCUAUGAGGGAUUUGAAAUGGAACACCGGUAGCAUAUUUGCGGCCUCAUUUUACAUUUGGAUGGCAAGAGCCCGUGAGGAUUGAAAGCCAUCUCCCCGCUCAGCUCUUUCUUUGUAUACUUGACCUCACCCCCAACCCUCUGCCAGACUUGGCCGAAAGAUCGGCACACAGAAUGCUUCCCAAAUGGCCAGUGGUGGCCCUGCCACGUUACCAAGGGCACAGCGCUGAUCUGGAUGAGGAGGUUGCUCUCCUCCAUCUCGCCGUACUUCAGCAGGUAGGGUCUAUAGGGUCCGUACACGGCAUCCACCAGCUCCACGACUUUCACCAGGUUGUGCUCCUCUUUAGGGAAUCGGAAAUUAAAAACAAUAAUGAACAAAGGAUCUGAAUUAAUUGCUACAGAGCAACGGGAGAGAGGUACACUACUGGAACUCUUCCUGUUUUAUCUUCAGGGGUGUCUACAUUUUGUUAAUCUGCUUUGAUCAUUCCAGGUAGCUUCUUCAACCUCAUUUCAGUAAAUAUUUGGAUACAUUUGGUUUUUGUGCAUUGUGUGCUGAAAAUACAAUUGAAAGUACAAUUAAGACACCCAUCCCCUUAAUCCUACAACCCUUGGUAGUUGAGGAUCCCUUCAGUGAAAACUCUGGUCAGGGUUAGGUUCUGCUACAGAGAAAGGUUCUGAAGGAAGUCCGUCUUACUCUUCCGAGUGUCCUUGGACUUUAGGGAAAGAGGAGAGCCCAAGUUUAGUUACAUACAAAUUUAAAACAUGUUUGUAUCCAAAAUGUACAUGUGCUUAUUCUACAGUGCAGCAAUUCAACUUCUAAGGAUUACACCCAAGGAGCAAACAAUAAUGCAGGGACACAGUGUACAAGCAAGAAUGUUCUUGAAAACACUGCCAGGACAGGGCUGUGGAAGCCAUCUGAAGGCGAUGAGUAAGUGCAGCAGCCUGCUGACUGAUUCCUCACAAUCUCUGCUCCCCUCCAACCUGUCCUCACACUGAAGUCAGAACACUCCCCAACAGAAGCCUGGCCACAUCACUGCCCUACUUGCCUCUUCCCAAAGAUCUCUACUGCUCUUCAGCUGGAAGUCAAACAUCUUUUCUAGAACCUGCAAAGCCUGACCUCAGGAAGUGGAAGAUGGUGGCAAUUAGGAGUGAAGGCCCUGGUUAUGCAUUCAGAUGCCUGUUCCCUCAAUAACAAAAUGAGGGAACUGAUGCCAACAAUCUUAAAAGGCUUUUGUUGAGUAGAUAAAAUGUGCCACAUGCCAGAUCUUUAAUAUUAAUUCUAUAGCCACCUCCUCCUUCACUCUUCCCCUGGCUUCCAGCCUCACAGGAACUUCCAGUCCCACGCUGAGCCUCCUGUGUGGAAGGACCCUCUGUUUCCCUACCUCUUUUCAUCCUGCUAAUUCCUUCAAUACUCAACCAGCUUGAUUCUGUUGGGCUCAAUUAUAAAUGCUUAGGACCACCUGUUUUCUUGAUAGUGCUCAUCUCACUUUCUAAUCAUACAUUCGUCAAGUGUGACGACCUGAUUCUCUCCCACUGCGUACUCUAGGGACGGUGUCUGCUUUUGCUCAUCUUUGCAUCCUCAGCUUCUAAACUCCAGUACAGUCCUCUGGUGUUUGAAUGAGUAAGUUAAAAAUAUGUUGACCUAUCCAGAAUGUGGUCAUGAAAAAUAAUUGCAUAUAUAUUUGUGUAUGUGUGUAUCCUGAUUGGGAACCAGGAUUCUCACUGCAGGAAAUGGGAGAUGUAAGUGCGCUUGAAAAAGCAAAAAGUAAAAAUUUUAUAGCAUUAAAUCUGACUGGGAAAUAUCAGUAUAAAUUGCCAAUUUUUUAAAAAAUAUGUAUUUCCUAGCUCUCUCCACCAAAAGAGCCUAGAAGUAAUGAUACCUCAGCAACAAUGAACAGCUGUGGUGUUCAGACUCUCAUUUCUAAAUACCAAUUUUCACCAGAAAAAACUAGUCUCCCUGGAAAAACAGCUGACUCCAGGUGAGGGGUAAAGGAAAGCACAGGUGCUUCUGGAAUAGUCUGUGCCAAAAAGCAAGGAAGCAUUCAAAGACUGAUUAGAGACAUGCCAAAAAGAUAUGAGAGUCAGCUGAAUGGGGACCCACAGUCCAAAAAUGAAAUAAUUUGGACAUCAAAAUGAUUGGUAACAAUGAGGGGGCUGGGGAUAUAGCUCAGGUGGAAAAGUGCUUGCCUCAAAUGCACAAGGCCCUGGGUUCAAUCCCCAGUAUUGCAAAAAAAAAAGGAUGAUAACAAUUAAAUCAUAACACACUGGAUUUUUUAAAAUCCAUGAAUUUUUGUCCAUCAAGUGGGCUUCUUUGUAAGUAUUAAAAAAAUAAUAAAAUAUUUUUAAAAAUCCAUGAAUUUAUAGUGACAUCAAGGAGGCAGAAAGGGGGGCUGGGUGUGGCUCAGUGGUAGAGUGCUUGCCUAGCAUGCAUGAGGCACUGGGUUCGAUCCUCAGCACCACAUAAAUGUAAAAUAAAGACAUUGUGUCCACCUAAAAAAACUUAAAAAAUAAAUAUUUUUUUUAAAAAAAGGCAAAAAGGGAAAUUCUUCUUCAUAAGAGAAUGCCAGCAGAUAAUUGUAGAAUGAAUGAUAUAAUUACAAAAUCACCAUUUUACAAUCAGCACUGUAAGAAUUCAUUAAGGCAAGGCUCAUCGAUGGGUGCUGAUAUCACUGGGCAAUUGUUUCUUGGGGAAUGGCAUAUUCCUAUGAGCUCACAGUAUCACCCCACAAAUUACCUAAUAAUUACAAAGAGGAAAAGGUAACGACAAUGGGGAGAUCUGGAGGAUACAUUUACAAUGUGAUUAAUCUAACCUGUCACCGGCAAUUCGACAUUAUGUGUUUCCUGAGGUGAUGCAAUGGGAAGUCACAUCAGCAUCAAUGCAACAGUUUUGCUAAAAAUGUUUGAGAUAAAUCUACUAAUAAAAGCCUGGAAUGUGGGGCAUUCCAUAAGAAAACGACCUUUUCUUCUUCAAAAACGUCCAUGUCAUGAAAAACAAAAAAGAAAAAUGAAAUGACUGUUGUAGAUUAAAAGAGAUUAUAAUCUACAGAAACAGGACAAUCGAGGCAAUGUAUGUACGUGAACCGGAUGUCUGUGCAAGGCAGAGGUGGGGAAGCCGCUAUGCAGACACCUGUGGAACUGGGGAAACCCGAGCACUGACUGCACAUUAGCUGACAAUAUGAAAUCAAAAUUAAAUUCUUGGGUGUGAUAAUAAUAUUCUACUGAAACCAAAUUUAAGAAUAUAAACAUACGGAUACUCAUACGCAAAAUCUGCACAUACAUAUAAUCCCAAAAUGCUGUUUUAGAAGGCAGGUUGAGGAUGAUUUUUUUUCCCCUUCCUUGUAUUUUCAGGAUUUAUCUAUAAUAAAUACAUAUUGCUUGUUAACUAUAAAAUCAACUUAAGUUACAUUUUAAAAAUUUGCUUUCUUUUCCAUAAUCUUUUAUAUUUUAAAUUAUAUCAUGUAUGGGUAUUUGUUAGUAAAAUAACAGAAACAUGUUAAAGGUAAAAUAAAAGUUAGAAAAUAUAGCUGAAAUAUAUUUGAUAAACAAUAGGAAAAAGUCCACUACAUAAGAAUCUUUUAGGAGCAUGUCAAAAUUUUAAACAUGGUUAUUUCUAGCAAAUAGGACUAUAGGAGACUAUGUAACAUAUAUUUUUGUUGCUUUUUACAAACAUAUGUAAUAACACUAUUUUAAAUAAAUUACUCUAAGAUAUUAACAAGAAAUAGAUUAAAACUCCAAGCAAAACAGGCAAAUAAGCAACCAAAAAAGAAAAAGAGAUCAUUUUAUAAUAUAAUUUUCAAACUUGCUAAUGCUGAAGUAAAUUAAAAUGAUAUAUUAUUAAUUGUAUAAGAAUCUGACAACGAUGGAAGAGGCAGGAGCGACCUGGUGCCUUUAUUCACUACUAUACAAAAAUUGGCAGAAACUUUCUAAAGAGCAAAGUAGGAAAAACAUCUUUCAAUUUUCCACUUCUUCAUGACUACAAUUUAAAAUUUAUCCUAAGGACCAAUCAGAAUUAGGUUUAAACAUUAAUGGGUAAUAUAGUUCAUAACAGUUGUACUUAUAAUAGUGGCUAAAAAAUUAUAAGCCACUGCCAGGUGCGGUGGUGCACGCCUGUGAUCCCAGUAACUCGGGAGGUUGAGACAGGAGGAUCAUAAGUUCAAGGCCAGCUUCAACAACUUAGUGAGACCCUGCCUCAGAAGAAAACAUUAAAAAAGGGUUGGGGAUAUAGCUCAGUAGUAAAGUACAGAUGGGUCCAAUCCCCUAUACAAAAAAAAGAUUAAUUUAAAAAACAAUUAAAUAUAAUUGUUUAUAAUUAAAUAUAUAAUUUUUAAAAAAUUUAAAAAUACGUGUGUGUGUGUGUGUG